RNAcentral lists this ribosomal RNA (480 nucleotides) under uncultured bacterium. Its description in RNAcentral is "bacterial SSU rRNA". It matches the Rfam family "Bacterial small subunit ribosomal RNA", at positions 28 to 526 of the family's 1533-position model. The record is from RNAcentral.
GACGAACGCUGGCGGCGUGCUUAACACAUGCAAGUCGAGCGGAAAGGCCCUUCGGGGUACUCGAGCGGCGAACGGGUGAGUAACACGUGAGCAACCUGCCCUAGGCUUUGGGAUAACCCUCGGAAACGGGGGCUAAUACCGAAUAUGACUGCUGGCCGCAUGGCUGGUGGUGGAAAGUUUUUCGGCCUGGGAUGGGCUCGCGGCCUAUCAGCUUGUUGGUGGGGUAAUGGCCUACCAAGGCGACGACGGGUAGCCGGCCUGAGAGGGCGACCGGCCACACUGGGACUGAGACACGGCCCAGACUCCUACGGGAGGCAGCAGUGGGGAAUAUUGCACAAUGGGCGGAAGCCUGAUGCAGCGACGCCGCGUGAGGGAUGACGGCCUUCGGGUUGUAAACCUCUUUCAGCAGGGACGAAGCGAAAGUGACGGUACCUGCAGAAGAAGCACCGGCCAACUACGUGCCAGCAGCCGCCGUAACAC